GAUGAAGAACGUAGCGAAAUGCGAUAAGUAGUGUGAAUUGCAGAAUUCAGUGAAUCAUCGAAUCUUUGAACGCACAUUGCGCUUCCUGGCAUUCCGGGAGGCAUGCCUGUUCGAGCGUCAUCAAACCCCAUCGUGCAAAUGAAUUAUUUUUUUUGCGCGGAAGUGACGAUUGAGCGAGAAUAACAAAUCCUCUCGCACCUCGUCGAAAUGAUUGCGGGCGGAAUUUGGGAUCGGGUUCCUCGGCGUAGUGUAUCAAUGCAUAUUUAUGCAACUUGCCGCGGAGUUGAGCCUGACCCACGCGUUCUCGCCGUACAAACACCUCAUUACUUUACAAGUUUUUGACCUCGGAUCAGGUAGGGAUACCCGCUGAACUUAAGCAUAUCAAUAAGCGGAGGA
RNAcentral lists this unclassified non-coding RNA (396 nucleotides) under soil metagenome. Its description in RNAcentral is "partial contains 5.8S ribosomal RNA, internal transcribed spacer 2, and large subunit ribosomal RNA". The stretch from base 1 to 120 matches the Rfam family "5.8S ribosomal RNA", at positions 35 to 154 of the family's 154-position model. The record is from RNAcentral.